CCCCGGUAAACGGCGGCCGUAACUAUAACGGUCCUAAGGUAGCGAAAUUCCUUGUCGGGUAAGUUCCGACCUGCACGAAUGGCGUAAUGAUGGCCAGGCUGUCUCCACCCGAGACUCAGUGAAAUUGAACUCGCUGUGAAGAUGCAGUGUACCCGCGGCAAGACGGAAAGACCCCGUGAACCUUUACUAUAGCUUGACACUGAACAUUGAGCCUUGAUGUGUAGGAUAGGUGGGAGGCUUUGAAGUGUGGACGCCAGUCUGCAUGGAGCCGACCUUGAAAUACCACCCUUUAAUGUUUGAUGUUCUAACGUGGACCCGUAAUCCGGGUUGCGGACAGUGUCUGGUGGGUAGUUUGACUGGGGCGGUCUCCUCCUAAAGAGUAACGGAGGAGCACGAAGGUUGGCUAAUCCUGGUCGGACAUCAGGAGGUUAGUGCAAUGGCAUAAGCCAGCUUGACUGCGAGCGUGACGGCGCGAGCAGGUGCGAAAGCAGGUCAUAGUGAUCCGGUGGUUCUGAAUGGAAGGGCCAUCGCUCAACGGAUAAAAGGUACUCCGGGGAUAACAGGCUGAUACCGCCCAAGAGUUCAUAUCGACGGCGGUGUUUGGCACCUCGAUGUCGGCUCAUCACAUCCUGGGGCUGAAGUAGGUCCCAAGGGUAUGGCUGUUCGCCAUUUAAAGUGGUACGCGAGCUGGGUUUAGAACGUCGUGAGACAGUUCGGUC
RNAcentral lists this ribosomal RNA (719 nucleotides) under Salmonella enterica. RNAcentral's name for it is "partial 23S ribosomal RNA". It matches the Rfam family "Bacterial large subunit ribosomal RNA", at positions 1918 to 2636 of the family's 2925-position model. RNAcentral also lists the same sequence under 1 other name. Lineage: Bacteria; Pseudomonadati; Pseudomonadota; Gammaproteobacteria; Enterobacterales; Enterobacteriaceae. The record is from RNAcentral.